ACGAAUAACUAUGGUGUCUUGGUUGUAGCUGGCUCCUCGGAGCAAUGUGCACGCCCGCCAUUUUUAUCUUUCCACCUGUGCACCGACUGUAGGUCUGGAUACCUCUCGCCCUUCACGGGGCGGAUGCGAGGGUUGCCCGUCACACGGCUCCCCUCGAAUUUCCAGGCUCUACGUCUUUUUACACACCCCAAUAGUAUGAUGCAGAAUGUAGUCAAUGGGCUUCUCAGCCUAUAAAACACUAUA
This 243-nucleotide unclassified non-coding RNA is filed under the name uncultured Coprinellus. Its description in RNAcentral is "sequence contains ITS1". The record is from RNAcentral. Lineage: Eukaryota; Fungi; Basidiomycota; Agaricomycetes; Agaricales; Psathyrellaceae.